Molecule: non-coding RNA, 213 nt
Organism: Caenorhabditis elegans
Lineage: Eukaryota; Metazoa; Nematoda; Chromadorea; Rhabditida; Rhabditidae
Source: Ensembl
CCUUUCAAAAGUAAAGAAAUUCUUUCUUUCUUUGCGCAAAACUUCUUGUUGCAUUAGCAUCUUCUUCUCCUUCUUCUUCUUUUUGCCUUUUCCUCUCUCACGUAUUCUCACACACCAUUAGCAUACUUGCCCUUUUACAUACUCUCUUCAGGAGGAUGCUCUCAGUUCCAUGUGCCGACAGUACUUGACAUAAUCCGCGUGGGCAAAAGCCAA